AAGGUAGCGUAAUCACUUGUUCUUUAAAUGUGGACUAGUAUGAAUGGCAUCACGAAGGUUAUACUGUCUCCUUUUUUUAAUCAGUGAAACUAAUUUCCCCGUGAAGAAGCGAGGAUGAAAGUAUAAGACGAGAAGACCCUAUGGAGCUUCAAACAAUACAGCACUUGCCCCCGAAAUUUAAGUUUCUGAACAUCUUAAUUCUUUGGAAAAUAUGACUGUAAGUUUUUGGUUGGGGUGACCGCGGAGCAAAGCACAACCUCCAUGUUGAAAGAAUUUUUCUAAGCUAAGAACAACCCGCCGAAGCAUCAAUACAUUGACAUCUAUUGACCCAAUAUAUUUGACCAACGAACCAAGUUACCCUAGGGAUAACAGCGCAAUCCACUUCAAGAGCUCCUAUCGACAAGUGGGUUUACGACCUCGAUGUUGGAUCAGGGUAUCCCAGUGGUGCAGCCGCUACUAAAGGUUCGUUUGUUCAACGAUUAAAACCCUACGUGAUCUGAGU
RNAcentral lists this ribosomal RNA (502 nucleotides) under Rhinella cf. amabilis QCAZ 68471. RNAcentral's name for it is "partial 16S ribosomal RNA". It matches the Rfam family "Bacterial large subunit ribosomal RNA", at positions 1953 to 2610 of the family's 2925-position model. The record is from RNAcentral. Lineage: Eukaryota; Metazoa; Chordata; Amphibia; Anura; Bufonidae.